CAAAAACAUGUCUUUUUGAUUAUAAUUUAAAGUCUAACCUGCCCAAUGAGGAGUUAAAUGGCCGCGGUAUUUUGACCGUGCAAAGGUAGCAUAAUCAUUAGUUUUUUAAUUGAAAGCUGGUAUGAAUGGUUGGACGAGAAAAUAACUGUCUCGAUUUAAAUUAAAUUAGAAUUUUAUUUAUGAGUAAAAAAGCUCAUAUGAGUUUAAAAGACGAGAAGACCCUAUAGAAUUUAAUAUAUAUAUGUAUAUAUUAUUUUUAGAAUUAAUAAUAAGUUAUAUAUAAUUAUAUUUUGUUGGGGUGAUAGAAAAAUUAAAUUAACUUUUUUUAUAUAAAAACAUUAAUGUAUGAAAAAAUGAUCCGUUAAUUACGAUUAUAAGAUUAAAUUACCUUAGGGAUAACAGCGUAAUUUUUUUUUAGAGUUCUUAUCGAAAAAAGAGUUUGCGACCUCGAUGUUGGAUUAAAAUUAACUUUUGGUGUAGGGGCU
RNAcentral lists this ribosomal RNA (485 nucleotides) under Xylotrupes sumatrensis. Its description in RNAcentral is "partial large subunit ribosomal RNA". It matches the Rfam family "Bacterial large subunit ribosomal RNA", at positions 1808 to 2563 of the family's 2925-position model. The record is from RNAcentral. Lineage: Eukaryota; Metazoa; Arthropoda; Insecta; Coleoptera; Scarabaeidae.